CUUGCGACCAUGUUACCUUGAAACAGCGGUUCCCGUAUGAUCACCGAUGUUAAGCAGCGUAGAGUACCAAGAUGGGUGACCACUUGGGAAUACCAGGUUCUGUAA
Acanthosepion pharaonis is the source of this 105-nucleotide non-coding RNA. The record is from the annotation of a GenBank genome assembly. Lineage: Eukaryota; Metazoa; Mollusca; Cephalopoda; Sepiida; Sepiidae.